GAAACGGUCAUAGUACUACACUGCGUGAGCGGACGAAACAAAAACACCUAAAUGUGGAAUAUAUAACAUAUAGUCGACAAGAGAAAUCUACGAAAAACAAACAAAACUUUCAACAACGGAUCUCUUGGUUCUCGCAUCGAUGAAGAGCGCAGCGAAAUGCGAUACCUAGUGUGAAUUGCAGCCAUCGUGAAUCAUCGAGUUCUUGAACGCACAUUGCGCCCCUCGGCAUUCCGGGGGGCAUGCCUGUUUGAGCGUCGUUUCCAUCUUGCGCGUGCGCAGAGUUGGGGGAGCGGAGCGGACGACGUGUAAAGAGCGUCGGAGCUGCGACUCGCCUGAAAGGGAGCGAAGCUGGCCGAGCGAACUAGACUUUUUUCAGGGACGCUUGGCGGCCGAGAGCGAGUGUUGCGAGACAACAAAAAGCUCGACCUCAAAUCAGGUAGGAAUACCCGCUGAACUUAAGCAUAUCA
This 467-nucleotide ribosomal RNA is filed under the name Pichia kudriavzevii. RNAcentral describes it as "eukaryotic LSU rRNA". The stretch from base 105 to 257 matches the Rfam family "5.8S ribosomal RNA". The record is from RNAcentral. Lineage: Eukaryota; Fungi; Ascomycota; Pichiomycetes; Pichiales; Pichiaceae.